RNAcentral lists this ribosomal RNA (450 nucleotides) under uncultured bacterium. Its description in RNAcentral is "partial 16S ribosomal RNA". It matches the Rfam family "Bacterial small subunit ribosomal RNA", at positions 354 to 796 of the family's 1533-position model. The record is from RNAcentral.
GUGGGGAAUAUUGGACAAUGGGCGAAAGCCUGAUCCAGCCAUGCCGCGUGUGUGAAGAAGGUCUUCGGAUUGUAAAGCACUUUAAGUUGGGAGGAAGGGCAGUAAGUUAAUACCUUGCUGUUUUGACGUUACCGACAGAAUAAGCACCGGCUAACUUCGUGCCAGCAGCCGCGGUAAUACGAAGGGUGCAAGUGUUAAUCGGAAUUACUGGGCGUAAAGCGCGCGUAGGUGGUUUUGUAAGUUGGAGGUGAAAUCCCCGGGCUCAACCUGGGAACUGCCUCCAAAACUGCAUGACUAGAGUACGGUAGAGGGUAGUGGAAUUUCCUGUGUAGCGGUGAAAUGCGUAGAUAUAGGAAGGAACACCAGUGGCGAAGGCGACUACCUGGACUGAUACUGACACUGAGGUGCGAAAGCGUGGGGAGCAAACAGGAUUAGAAACCCUGGUAGUCC